UGUCCAGGGAUGGGAAUCGAACCCACAGUGUUCCGCUUACCGGGCAGAUGCCAUGUCCACUAGGCUACCCGGCU
This is a non-coding RNA of Cordylochernes scorpioides, 74 nucleotides long. The record is from the annotation of a GenBank genome assembly. Lineage: Eukaryota; Metazoa; Arthropoda; Arachnida; Pseudoscorpiones; Chernetidae.